This 498-nucleotide ribosomal RNA is filed under the name uncultured bacterium. RNAcentral's name for it is "partial 16S ribosomal RNA". It matches the Rfam family "Bacterial small subunit ribosomal RNA", at positions 30 to 523 of the family's 1533-position model. The record is from RNAcentral.
AUUGAACGCUGGCGGCAUGCCUUACACAUGCAAGUCGAACGGUAACAGGUCUUCGGAUGCUGACGAGUGGCGAACGGGUGAGUAAUACAUCGGAACGUGCCUAGUAGUGGGGGAUAACUACUCGAAAGAGUGGCUAAUACCGCAUGAGAUCUACGGAUGAAAGCAGGGGAUCGCAAGACCUUGUGCUACUAGAGCGGCCGAUGGCAGAUUAGGUAGUUGGUGGGAUAAAAGCUUACCAAGCCGACGAUCUGUAGCUGGUCUGAGGGGACGAUCAGCCACAAUGGGACUGAGACACGGCCCAGACUCCUACGGGAGGCAGCAGUGGGGAAUUUUGGACAAUGGGCGAAAGCCUGAUCCAGCAAUGCCGCGUGCAGGAUGAAGGCCUUCGGGUCGUAAACUGCUUUUGUACGGAACGAAAAGCCCCGGGUUAAUACCCUGGGGUCAUGACGGUACCGUAAGAAUAAGCACCGGCUAACUACGUGCCAGCCGCCGCCGUAA